UGAAUGAAUCUUUUGAUAAAUUUUUGUUAUGCAUUUCCCAAGAUUGAGGAUAUGUUUCUCUGUUUUAUUGAAGAGCCCGGUGAUGAUAAAAAAGCGUCUGUUUUGGCCAUUUUGCUAUCCUUGUUUCAUAAAAGAAUUCACAAAUUGACAAGCUGAGGCUUUACUAAUAUGUUUUGCACCAUUCCUAUUUGUUCUUCUUCCCCUGCUUAUCCCUUUCUCUCCAUAUAUCAGACCUAAUGCAAAUGAAGAGUUCUUGUGCCAAAGCCUGAAGCAUUUGAAGAAUGAUUUGAAGAAUGAGGCAGAAAUUUUGGAUAAAAUAGGAAGGUUAUAUGUCCUCUCUCUUCCAAACAUGCACUUUCAUGUGCUUACACACACAGGCACAAGAAUUUUUGCUUUGGUUUAAUUUAUUUUUUAUUCACAAGCAAUUCUUUUAUCAUGUAAUGAUUUAUUGGCCAUUAAUGCGAUGCAAAGUUCAGCUUGGAGGCUCUUGAGAUGAAACCGCUUGAUCUCAGUCGGCAAAAAUAUGGAGCUCAGGACAAGAUGAGAAAGGUCUUAUAAACCAGAUACGACAAAGAUCCUCACCGUUCAAGAAGCUCAGUACCACCAGCAAGUUGUUAUCAACGCAAUUUGACAAAUCGAAAAGUUGAAUUGAGUUUGUUUUUUCACUAACCGCUAGUGAUUUUUUCCCCUAAUCUAGUGAAGCCUAACAUAAGCUAUCUUUCUUCUCUUCAGAACGCAAAGCUGCUUGAGAACGAGGCUUCAACUUCAAAGCUAAAGGAUGCUGAGGUGUCUGCUGUUGAGGUGAAGGACUCCGAUUUCACAACUGAAGAAUCUGUAAACUCUAAAAGAAAGCGGAAUAAGUCAGAGGAUGAUGAGAAAGAGGAAGCAGGGUCAUCAGCUGUUGAGGUCCCCUGCCCAACACCCCAUCUAAACAUUAGCUUCCUCAAAACCCAAACCAAUUGGAACCUUCAAAAGGCUUAGGACUUUACAUCAAUCAAAUCUCCCAUGCCUUAGAGCUAUCUUCUAUGUUUCAGUUUAUUUUACAUAUAUGUAUUGCCCAUUAAUAUACUUUUUUUACUUUUCUAUGUAUGCAUGUAUGCAUACAUGUAUGUGUUGUGUAUGAAGUCAGGUUUGUGUGAGAUACAAAACAGAGAAAUAGAUUUGUGUAA
This is a long non-coding RNA of Gossypium arboreum, 1169 nucleotides long. RefSeq lists it as uncharacterized. The record is from RefSeq and is a predicted model, not a curated record. The transcript has 6 exons. Lineage: Eukaryota; Viridiplantae; Streptophyta; Magnoliopsida; Malvales; Malvaceae.